GGGUUGUGAGGUUAAGCGACUAAGCGUACACGGUGGAUGCCCUGGCAGUCAGAGGCGAUGAAGGGCGUGCUAAUCUGCGAUAAGCGCCGGUAAGGUGAUAUGAACCGUUAUAACCGGCGAUACCCGAAUGGGGAAACCCAGUGUGA
This 146-nucleotide ribosomal RNA is filed under the name Salmonella enterica subsp. enterica serovar Infantis. Its description in RNAcentral is "partial 23S ribosomal RNA". It matches the Rfam family "Bacterial large subunit ribosomal RNA", at positions 1 to 136 of the family's 2925-position model. Lineage: Bacteria; Pseudomonadati; Pseudomonadota; Gammaproteobacteria; Enterobacterales; Enterobacteriaceae. The record is from RNAcentral. RNAcentral also lists the same sequence under 79 other names.